Molecule: ribosomal RNA, 254 nt
Filed under: uncultured bacterium
Lineage: Bacteria
Description: partial 16S ribosomal RNA
Rfam family: Bacterial small subunit ribosomal RNA
Source: RNAcentral
UACGUAGGGGGCGAGCGUUGUCCGGAUUCAUUGGGCGUAAAGAGCUCGUAGGCGGCUUGGCAAGUCGGAUGUGAAAACUCCAGGCUCAACCUGGAGCCGCCAUUCGAUACUGCUAUGGCUAGAGUCCGGUAGGGGAGUGUGGAAUUCCCGGUGUAGCGGUGAAAUGCGCAGAUAUCGGGAGGAACACCGAUGGCGAAGGCAGGUCUCUGGGCAUUAACUGACGCUGAGGAGCGAAAGCAUGGGGAGCGAACAGG